RNAcentral lists this transfer RNA (91 nucleotides) under Bacteroidales bacterium. RNAcentral describes it as "tRNA-Ser". It matches the Rfam family "tRNA". From Rfam's summary of the family: Transfer RNA (tRNA) molecules are approximately 80 nucleotides in length. Their secondary structure includes four short double-helical elements and three loops (D, anti-codon, and T loops). Further hydrogen bonds mediate the characteristic L-shaped molecular structure. tRNAs have two regions of fundamental functional importance: the anti-codon, which is responsible for specific mRNA codon recognition, and the 3' end, to which the tRNAs corresponding amino acid is attached (by aminoacyl-tRNA synthetases). tRNAs cope with the degeneracy of the genetic code in two manners: having more than one tRNA (with a specific anti-codon) for a particular amino acid; and 'wobble' base-pairing, i.e. permitting non-standard base-pairing at the 3rd anti-codon position. The record is from RNAcentral. Lineage: Bacteria; Pseudomonadati; Bacteroidota; Bacteroidia; Bacteroidales.
GGAGAGGUGCUCGAGUGGCUGAAGAGGCACGCCUGGAAAGCGUGUAUACCCCUAAAGGGUAUCGCGGGUUCGAAUCCCGCUCUCUCCGCCA